Molecule: long non-coding RNA, 2562 nt
Filed under: Olea europaea subsp. europaea
Lineage: Eukaryota; Viridiplantae; Streptophyta; Magnoliopsida; Lamiales; Oleaceae
Source: RNAcentral
UGAUACAAGAAGUCAACGACGUGUAAAUUUCUUGUCAGAUAUUGAUUCAGCAAUUUCCCCAAUUCUUGUUCGCAAACCAAUAGUUUUCUCUACUCCGUAUCCGACCCAGGUAAUUUGACAAUCUCACUAAAUGCACCUCUUCUUUAUAUUUUUCCGUUUAUACAAGUGAAGGGAUUUCAAAUAGAAGCUUCCAGCUUGAGAAAAUUAACUGGGAAAGAACCCAUAAGUCAAAAUUGGCUGAUAGCAAUCAAGAAAACAGAUAUUAGCAACAGCGACAUCUUAGAGGUUUGGUUUAUUGAGUUUGUUUGUUGGGUUUCUAUCAAUUUGCAGGGGAAUAUUGUGAACUGUAGAGCAGAAUUUGAUGUGGGCUUUUGAUGAACCCUGUCUUUUUUCACUGUAAGUUCAUACUGAAAUGGGGUUCUUCUACAUCUCAAAAGAAUUUAUUGAUUAUGUGUUUCAUUUAUUCUCAUUUUAUUGGGAUUCAUCUCUUCAUGUUAAUAGUAGAUGAUAUUAGUUUUUCUUUAGUUUGUUGGUUUGAUAUAUAUAUGUGGUGGUUCGACUUGGUUCUUGUGUUUCUGAUCUGAAUAUUUCCAAAGAGUUCUGGUUUUGCUCUGCACAAAUAUUACUCGAAUAGUUUUGCUAUACUUACAGUUUUGUUUACACUCUUUGACAUGAUACACAAUUUUAUCAUUGAUUUUAACAACACUUAUUCAAAUCAAUGGCUCAAUUUUGACACUCAAAAGGGUGUCAAAACUAGCUUAAUUCUUACUCGAAUGUAGAAUGCUUGGUGAAGAUGGCUAUAUAGGACAUGCUAUAUUAAAAGAUUCUGUUGUUCCUAAAAUUUAUUAAAGGUGGUGCAGAAAGUCUUUGUGUGUAGUAAGGAGCCUAGUAAUUUUUGUGGCAUGUAAUGUGGCCUCGAAAUUCAAAUUCAUGAAAAUCUAUUUAAGUUUAAAUAAUUUAAAAUUGUUCUAAUAGAUGAAAGUUGAGCUUGUGUGGCGCCCCUAUUUACCAUGCUCAACCAGACAUCUACUAGUGUGGUGCUUCAAAUUACCAGCAUCACCUUUUUGUUUCUGGCUCCCUUCAACCAACCUCCAAAUUAAUGUAUAGCUGUACACUUUAGUUUUCAGUUGAAAUUAACAUCUUCGACAUGAAACUAUUGCUACACUGUCGAUGUUCUUUGAAGUACCCCCAUCAAGUCCUUUUUCUCAAUUCUACCAUCAAGUCCUUUUUCUCAAUUCUAAAGACGAACCAGAGAUUGUCUCAGUCGAUUUGUUCCUUGUUUGCAUCAUGUAUCUUUUGAUACUCCACUUCCUUGAUAUAGUAGCUGCCCUUUCGUUCUACAAUGACCAGGGCAGAGCUGUCUGUGACUGACGGAACGCAAACAUCACCAUCCUCCUCCUUCUGUCCUUUUUAUUAUAAAACUUUAAUAAAUGAUGGCCAUGACUCUUUGCUAAGUACAUGGGUGUAACCUGGUCAAACCACAUUAACGCCAGCAAGAAACUAAAAAAUUCUCUAUCUUCCAAUGAACUUUUUGCACUGUUGCAACAUCUUCACUACAUUUCAUCUUAAAGUUUUGAUAAUAGUCUAAUUCAAGCCCUAUACCUUUCUUAAUCCGAUGAUACUUUUUAACAGACAUAUUUAAUAUUAUCUUGCUUGGUGGUUGAUUUUGGGUCUUUAUUGCCUAUAUUUGGGCAACAUUUAGAAUAGGUCUGACUAACAGCCUCUCAAAUUUCCCUUGCUGUUGAAAGAAAUAUGCACGUUUUGCUCACUUCUGGUUCCGUUGAAUUCCACAACCAAGUCAUGACACGGAAUCCUCAUCCCAAACUGUAAAAUUGGGGUUUUGUUCUCUUGGUGCUGAGCCUAUUUCAUGGCUUAUCUUUCUCUUCCCUUUUAGGAAUGUUUUCAAGAGCUCUGACCUGAUAAAAAAUAGUGUGCUCAUUGAGUCGAAAUGAGACUUGUAGAUUUUUGUAUUCACCUGAUGACUAUGAUGGAAUCAACAUUGCCUGGGUUGGUUUUAGGGAGUUCUGAAAUUUUUUAUUCAAGAGGAUGACAAUUCCUGGACAGGGUUGAUGAUUACCUUGUUGGCAAAGAAGGCUGUGCAGUUCUGACCAUUGAGGUCAAGUGAAAACUAGUUGAAAUUGUAAGGAAAAUCUUAGAGCUCUGAUACAAUGUGAACAGGCUGUGUAUUGUUUGAAUAACUUAUUGGUUUAGGGUUUAGAUAAAGAUCUACUAUGAAGAAACGGUGACUAAAAGAGAAAUCUGUUCCCAUAAACCAUGGGAAAGUAAGAGAAAAAAACAUUAACCAAUACGUAUAGAUAAUUCUGGUGCAGUUAAGGAAUACGUACCGAGAGGAAAGGGUUUGUCAAUAAUUUCCAUUCUCAACAAUAGUUGAAGAAAAAUCUAAUUCUUUUUUGUUGCUUUAAGAGAAUUUAUUAUUUCAAGCUGCAAUUAUUCCAUGAUUCUUUCCAAGAAGGAAUACCAUGAAUUACUUUGCUGAAGUUUUCUAAUAUGAAAAAUUACUGCAAUAUAUGAUUCUUGAUUCAUGAAAGUUGACCAACGAAA